CCCCCUCCUUCAGAGCUGCUCACCUUCGGGUCGGAGUCGCUUUUGGGGGGCUUCUGAGGGUCUCCAAACCCUCCAUUUUGUCCCUUUUCAGGCCUUUUACAUUCUCAAAAGGGAUUGAGAGAUUCCCCCCCUAUUUUCCUCAUACAUUGGUUCAGUCCAUCCAUUGAGAAGACUGAGGGACAAAAACGCCGACUGCGUUCCUCGGACACCCGCCACCACCAUUCGUACCUGGAACGCCGCAGCCUUUCGGCGCCAAAGAUGAGGACCAACAAAGUUUACAAACUCGUCAUCCACAAGAAAGGAUUCGGAAGCAGCGACGAUGAACUGAUGGUGAACCCGAAGGUCUUCCUCCAGAUCAAACUGGGAGACAUAGUGGAAAUCGCGCACCCCAAUGACGAAUAUAGGUGAAUUCCCAUUAAAUUUGCGCCGUCCGGCAGUUAUGGCGGAUCGAUGCGAAGGGACGCUGGGAUUCGUAGCGCCAGAACCGCGUUAAUAUUGAGGAAUUAGACUUAAAUUAUGUAGCUUUAGUCGGGGAGGUUGUUGUGCUUUGGGGAGGAAUCAGCGCAGACAAAA
Molecule: long non-coding RNA, 573 nt
Organism: Sceloporus undulatus (fence lizard)
Lineage: Eukaryota; Metazoa; Chordata; Lepidosauria; Squamata; Phrynosomatidae
Exons: 3
Source: RefSeq, a predicted model, not a curated record